Molecule: long non-coding RNA, 591 nt
Filed under: Vulpes vulpes (red fox)
Lineage: Eukaryota; Metazoa; Chordata; Mammalia; Carnivora; Canidae
Description: lncRNA (ENSVVUG00000014181.1)
Source: RNAcentral
UUUUUCUACCCCUAAUAAAUGUGAGCACUGUGAUCAUAAAGACCCAGGUCAAUGCCCAAUGUCAUCGAAGACUUUCUUCCCAGGAACAAAUAUUUGUUGAGUGCCUAUAUUUUCCAGACACUUUCCAGGAUCCAGGGACUCAAUGGUCAACAUCUUCAGCAUUUACACAGAGGUCAUGGUGGAAAGUCUCAGCCUUCAGUACUAGACAACAGAAUAAGAGACAGUGGGAGCUUAUGCAGUGCGCUGGAGGCAAAGGUUGGCAUACAUGUCAAGAGAAUGUUCUCCAGCUGGGGCCUGCAGUACAGAGAAUUGUAUAUACCAGAGGGCUCAUGGGACUCUAGGCAGAUUAUUAUGGUAAUAUUGGAGGCUGCUGUCCUCUCCCUCCCACAGCUGGGCCGCCUCUCUCAUUUGUAAUGGAAACAUCCUUUUGACAGUUCUGAAAAUAUGACUUCUCUGCAGAACAGGCACCAAAGUACUGUAAGUAGCACUUAGCAUCCAUGGCACUGGAAAACGAUUAAUUACCUCACUUAGCAUUCUUUUAUGAUAUUCAAGGUUUGAAUAUACAACAAGGCUACAAAUCACCAAAGUUGG